GGUCAAGUGAAGAAGCGCAUACGGUGGAUGCCUUGGCAGUCAGAGGCGAUGAAAGACGUGGUAGCCUGCGAAAAGCUUCGGGGAGUCGGCA
Molecule: ribosomal RNA, 91 nt
Filed under: Pseudomonas aeruginosa
Lineage: Bacteria; Pseudomonadati; Pseudomonadota; Gammaproteobacteria; Pseudomonadales; Pseudomonadaceae
Description: partial 23S ribosomal RNA
Rfam family: Bacterial large subunit ribosomal RNA
Source: RNAcentral